GAUGAACGCUGGCGGCGUGCCUAAUACAUGCAAGUCGAGCGAACAGACGAGGAGCUUGCUCCUCUGACGUUAGCGGCGGACGGGUGAGUAACACGUGGAUAACCUACCUAUAAGACUGGGAUAACUUCGGGAAACCGGAGCUAAUACCGGAUAAUAUAUCGAACCGCAUGCUUCAAUAGUGAAAGACGGUUUUGCUGUCACUUAUAGAUGGAUCCGCGCCGCAUUAGCUUGUUUGUAAGGUAACGGCUUACCAAGGCAACGAUGCGUAGCCGACCUGAGAGGGUGAUCGGCCACACUGGAACUGAGACACGGUCCAGACUCCUACGGGAGGCAGCAGUAGGGAAUCUUCCGCAAUGGGCGAAAGCCUGACGGAGCAACGCCGCGUGAGUGAUGAAGGUGUUCGGAUCGUAAAACUCUGUUAUUAGGGAAGAACAAAUGUGUAAGUAACUAUGCACGUCUUGACGGUACCUAAUCAGAAAGCCACGGCUAACUACGUG
Molecule: ribosomal RNA, 497 nt
Filed under: uncultured bacterium
Lineage: Bacteria
Description: partial 16S ribosomal RNA
Rfam family: Bacterial small subunit ribosomal RNA
Source: RNAcentral